This is a long non-coding RNA of Magnolia sinica, 3478 nucleotides long. RefSeq lists it as uncharacterized. The transcript is spliced from 9 exons. The record is from RefSeq and is a predicted model, not a curated record. Lineage: Eukaryota; Viridiplantae; Streptophyta; Magnoliopsida; Magnoliales; Magnoliaceae.
ACUUAACAAACUUUGAAUGUCUACAAAUCUCUGGCUGUCACUAUUUAUAGAAGCGAUGCGAGAAGAAGAAAGGUGAUGAUUGGCACAAGAUAGUACACAUCCCAGAUAUUCAGAUUGGAUAGCCAUCCAAUUACAGCUUGAAUUUUUUUGAAGAAAGAAGCGAGCUAUAAACUGGGCAUGCAGCUUAGGGGAGGGGAGAGGAGGAGAGAUCAGGAGGGACCCUGAGGGACCCCUGAACUACUGUUGAUCUACAUGAAAGUCCAAAGAUGUGAGUGAGCUGCAUCAUUCUUCCAUGAAGCUUUCCUCUCCUCCCACUCAUAACAAUAAAGGCAAAAUGAACAAUACAAAAGCUGAUGAUAAGCAAAAAAUAUGAUAUGAUGUUGGUGAGCCACAGUAGGCAUCCAUCUCUCUGUUCUAAUAUUAAAGGAAUGGGCCAAAAGAGGGAAGCAAUGAUUGGCCGAGGACAGACAGCAUCCCCACAGUGGAGAAUGACCAUAGAAAGAUCUUUCCACAUUGAAGAAAGCUCUCUUGACGUGCAUUGGGUAACGAUUGCAUUUUCUCUUCAUCUUUUUGUCCUAUUCUCAUAUUCCAUGCUUGGUUGCAAUUGGAGCAUUAAUGCCAGGAACUUCCAUUCGAAUUGCAUUUUUUAAUGACAUGUGUAAGUUCUCUUAUAUUUAUCUAAUAUUGAACUGACUCACCAAGUUGUUCAAGUGUUGAUAUAUCAUCAUGCAGGAACCAAACACUUAGAAUGCCUUAAAUGAGAAGCAACAAUAGCCGGUGAAUGCCAACACUAAGGAUAGAAGCAUCUAUGAACAAGCUUAUUUGUACAUGAAAAGUUGAAUCUAUGGCAAUGCUGCCCACACCCAAUAGCUUUCUCACCUAUGGCCACAAGGAGGAGAGUACUACAUCUUGAGGAACUAUCUCUCUGCAGAUUUAAACUCAUUGAACGUGACCUUUUUGUCCCUGUUGGCAUCUAUCCGAUUGAAAAAUCUCAUCAAGCUUCCCAAGUUCUGUUAUGUCUGCUGGAAGGCAGUCUUCUGGCAAGGCCUAUAUGGAUUUCAGUUAGAUGAUCUUUUCUACCACAUGCAAAGUAAAACUAUAGAGAAAUGCUAAGGCGAUUCGUGUGCAGGCAGACGGAAGAGGCAGAGAUUCAAGUCACAUAUGUGCGAGAUCCAAGCUGUUCAUUAGUAUAUAUUUUCUCAUUUUACCAAAAAGGAAAAGAAAAUUAUUGCUAGAGAGUAUCUUGAGUUUUACUAAUUAACUCAGGAGAAUACUCGGAUCGUUAGCUUGUAAAAGUGGUGUCCAUGGCUUAGUUAUCCGAAACGAUUUGUUUAUUGAGCCCCACCAUGGAAGGAUCCUUCAAGAUCUUGACUAGUUAUAGGGAAACUUUUUUUUUUCCCCAUAUAGAAGUUUUUAGUAUCAACCAAUCCUCUAUCUACCCAUACUUCAUUAGUGUUCAGGGUUUCCUUUCAUUUUGAUUAUUUUCAAAAUAUAUAUGUUUAUAUUUUCUAGAAACCUGCAUUAUUUGACACCCAUGUCUGACACAUGUUGUUGUUCUAUUUUCUUCUUACGUCUGGCAACGUUUAUAUACAUUUUGUUUAGGUCAUAGUUUUGCUACUAGAAUACAUUUUCCUGUUUCUUAUGUAUAUGGUGUUUGGAACCAAGAGAGAAUAUAUGUUUUAAAAACAUACUCUUAUUGACUCGCAUUAUUAAAUGCCAUGGUAGAGACGUUUCUUUACUUUUUGGUAAAAUGUAUAUUGGUGAAAUAUCAUGCUCUCUUCUCCACGCACAGACACACACACACACACACACACAAAAACACAAUAUGCACGCCAAUGUGGCGAUAACUGUGGAUGUCUAUCAGCUUGUUUUUAUUAGGAUAUCUAUUCUUGGUUCCAAAUUGAUCUUAUAUGAGCUAUUUCUAAUAAAACAACUUUCAUAUGUCAUUAUACAUCUGCACAGAUAUGUGGGAGUGGUGGGUUUUCCAGGACCUUGUUUCUACUUAUUUCCUUGUCCAAAAAAAAGACACUGCUGUCCAUGUCCAAAAUAGGUAUACAUAUGCAUGUUGACGUUGCAGUGUCGCAACAUUGCUUUCCGGUUAUAUUGACUGCCCCUCUUUAAAUCCUGUAUUUUUAAAAAUGUGUAAGAUUUGUUCUAAUGGAAUGCUUUACUCUUUUUACUCUUUUAUGCUUGUCUUCUUUCAGUGAUUUGAGUAGUCCUUGAUAUUCGGGGAUUAAGUACCCGAGAAAGUGCAAAAAGGAAUGAUAGAAUUCUGAAAAUAAGAUCAAGAUUGUGCUUUCUUGACCAUCAGGAGUAUACAUAUGUUGGUGUGUUUUAUAUAGUCCUUUGCUUCUUAUUUUCUCUUAUGAUUCCUUGCCUAAUGUUGUGGUUGUGUGGAUCUCUUGACUGGCAAUUCUGCAGAAAUCAUUCAGAAGGUAGGAUCACAAGAUUAAUGUAAAAUCUUUUUUCUGAUGAAAGGUAGAGUUAUAUUUAAUCACUAACCCAAGAGGCAUGCUACUUGCAGGCAUGCAUCUGCAGAUGCGCAAUACAACUGUCUCACGUAAAGUCAAAACUUGAAACACAUGUUGGUGAUCCAAGCCCUUCAUCACACUGGCGUCAUGAUGAAUGUGUCUUCACUUAUUAUCAGUUUUGCCCAUUCAUCAGGAUUUGCGAAAUUGGUUACAGCUUUUGCAAGAAAUGGUCACAGAUGAGAAGUAUAGAUUGAGCUGUUGAACCGUGUCAGGAAAUGUCAAUAGUGCAGCCCAAUUCAGAGUAAUGGAAGAAUCUCUGAUGAAAUCUCUUUAUUCACAUUGAGAACACUAGAGACAUCACUGUUGGCAGUUAACUAAUCAUGGCAAUAUAUGGGAGCUAGUGAAGAUCUCAACUUUUCGAUGGCUCAAUGAGAUGCCACAUACUUGAAGUUUCAGAUACAUGUUGAAUCUUGAUCUCCAAUCUUCCUAUCAAUAACCCAGCUACAAUUUUGCACCUUCCAACAAAAUACCAUUCUAUGAACGGAUUCGACCAAACUUCCAUGAUCCAUCCCAUACAAUAGCUUGGAUUUGAGAAGCCAGACCUGGUACCUUUCAUCCCUUCCAUGUUCAAGUAUUUGAGGGAAAGGGGGAUGCAAGUCGAAGUAAAGGUUGUCUACAUUGCAAUUGAGGCUCUGUGGCUUCAUACAUUCAUGGAUGUGGCCCACUAGACUGCAUGGACAAACGAUCAAGACCACCAUCCAUCUGCUCGCCCCUACCAUUGUGGGUGAUUGUACAGAAGACGGAGAAUCCGAUCUACCUUAUUUCAGUUGCAGUCAGAUUAUGAAGACCAGCAUAUACACACACCUACUGUUUGUGGGUGAUUGUACAAAAAACAUGUGGAUAGGAGAAUCCUAGCUGCCCAAUUUUCUCUGUUGAAUGUGAUAUUUAUACAGUUUGUACAAAAAAAGGCUGAUUUUUGUCAUCACCUGUUUGCUUGAAGGCUCUUA